This is a long non-coding RNA of Cyprinodon variegatus (sheepshead minnow), 544 nucleotides long. RefSeq lists it as uncharacterized. Lineage: Eukaryota; Metazoa; Chordata; Actinopteri; Cyprinodontiformes; Cyprinodontidae. The transcript is spliced from 4 exons. The record is from RefSeq and is a predicted model, not a curated record.
ACAGCCUUGCCACCCCUGCUGCAACCCCAGUUGGCGGUAGGAGAGGAAAGGCUUAUACAUUAUGGAUAAUUUGAGAAUUACGACCGCUAAUUUCCAAUGUCGGACUGCAGUGAAUGCAGCAUGAGAUGACGCGAGAGUGACUGAGACUGAUUGUUUUGAAAACCGAAUGGGGCAAAGCGAGGGAGCCAGGGGUGAUGGGGAGAGGAGACACGGGAUGAAACAGAUCCGCCCCGGACUAGAAACAUUCAGAUGACUGAGAGGAACGAUGAGGGGAACAUCUCUACCAUGUCUGCUCUGGCUGACCUUCCUUCACUGCUCUACAUCAGAACAAGCUGCUCUGACUGUGAGUCCCAGCAGAUCUCAGUUCUUUGAAGGAGAAUCUGUGUCUCUGAGCUGUAAGGAGAACAACAGCUCUGCUGGAUGGACUGUUUGGAGGAACAGAACCAGAGGACAGUCUGAGUGUAAAGAUGGAUGGGGGAAUCCAGCUGGUUCUACCUGUACCAUCAGCCACCUCCUCCCAUCAGACAGUGGAGUUUACUGGUGU